UACGUAGGGUGCAAGCGUUGUCCGGAAUUAUUGGGCGUAAAGCGUGCGCAGGCGGCUUUGCAAGACAGAUGUGAAAUCCCCGGGCUUAACCUGGGAACUGCAUUUGUGACUGCAUGGCUGGAGUGCGGCAGAGGGGGAUGGAAUUCCGCGUGUAGCAGUGAAAUGCGUAGAUAUGCGGAGGAGCACCGAUGGCGAAGGCAAUCCCCUGGGCCUGCACUGACGCUCAUGCACGAAAGCGUGGGGAGCAAACAGG
This 253-nucleotide ribosomal RNA is filed under the name uncultured bacterium. RNAcentral describes it as "partial 16S ribosomal RNA". It matches the Rfam family "Bacterial small subunit ribosomal RNA", at positions 524 to 776 of the family's 1533-position model. The record is from RNAcentral.